GUUAAACGAAAUAUCCAAAUGCCGAAGGUUAGUGAGAUCCCGGAAACUAUCGGCAGAGAUCCAAGUCAAAUUGUUGUCCCAAAGAACCAGCUUUUUCAACAUCACGAGACCAGCCAAGCCGAAUUGAUCGAUCAUGGUGUUCGCCAAGCGAUACAAGCUCGAUGCAGUUGUAUGUACUUGAGUCGCUUCGACUUAAUUUUCCCACCGCACACUGUCCAUGUUGAGUAGCAGCAGCAGUUAUCCAAUGGACAAAGCCGAAGACAAGUAACCAUCCGCAAAAUCCGACCAUCGUUGGGCACACGAAGUUUGACUUUUUAAUUGCCCUUCUUUUACGAACGACUAACCGAAGCACAAUGAGCAAAGCGAUAGCCCAGAAUCCCAAACAUAACGGAAGUUCGGUAAUGGCAUCGUUAUCGCGUUAUCACGUAAUUCAGGGUGGACAACAUCCUCCUACGAUUUCCUGUUUCGUAGUAUGUGGGCAUACGAUAGCUGGCAUUCACAUCGAAUCAUGUUCGAGAAUUUUUUAAUUCUGCUAUUCCAUCAUUUGAACGUACUGUGAAUAAGCGAAGUGAGAAAAAAUUUGAGAACGAAUCCUCUUAAUUGGACGAAUGAUGUUUCAAUUUUUUUUUUGCCUAGUAAAUGUUCGGGCUCAUCGAACUAAAGCACCGUUGAAUCCACUAUUUUCCAGUUUAACUAUCAACGUAUUUCUCUUGAUGAAUAUUUUCUCAGGUAUAGAAAAUCGAAUAUUGAAUUAAUUUUGGAUCUUGGAAAAUGAACUUUUGCAGCGACCGAAGAGGGCAAAGAACGAGGAAAAUCAGGCACGAUUCUCGAAACCACAUUCGAAGGAUUACUAGGAGUCGACGAAUAAAUCGUUCUACGGUUUUGAAGAUUCAAUAAAUCGACCUUUAUUACAAACA
Long non-coding RNA from Venturia canescens, 917 nucleotides. RefSeq lists it as uncharacterized. The transcript has 2 exons. The record is from RefSeq and is a predicted model, not a curated record. Lineage: Eukaryota; Metazoa; Arthropoda; Insecta; Hymenoptera; Ichneumonidae.